Long non-coding RNA from Pollicipes pollicipes, 604 nucleotides. RefSeq lists it as uncharacterized. The record is from RefSeq and is a predicted model, not a curated record. The transcript has 2 exons. Lineage: Eukaryota; Metazoa; Arthropoda; Thecostraca; Pollicipedomorpha; Pollicipedidae.
GAGUGUGGCACCACUGGCUCCAUGCCUAACUUGAUUGGAUUUGACGUGAGGAGCGUAGCGACCCUGAGUGAUGUGGAGUCGGAGGAGUUGGAACACUAUCUGGCGCAGUUUGACUCUUUGCUGACAUGCCAAGGCUACUCGUCCCAGCUCUCGAGCUCGACCGCCACGUCACACACCCCGAGAAACAACCGAUGACUCACUCGGCUGCCAGUCGCAGAGGAGAGUCCAAAUUCUCCCGGCAGCGGAUGUUGGUCGAUCUCUAUCAUUUCUAUACUUUUUACAUGCGAUUCGGAAAACUUUGUCUUACGUGUGUCCAGCUGUGCGCGAAAAAUGUUCGUCAGAAUUGGCUGCGCAGGCGUUUGUCGUGGAGCUUUAGUCUUACGUCUCAUCCUAUGGUUCAAUGUUCGGCGUUAUACAUCGCACGGAUCGCAAAAGUUCAAUGAAUAACAUUACGUAAUCUACGUCAGCGUACUACUAAAUGGACUAAAUGGUCGGCUUUUGAAAACAAGACCGCAGCUUAUAAACACUUACCAGAGCUGUGUUGGAAAUUUUUCACGAGCGUGCAAUACAAAGGAGACAUAACGCCAGGCCAGUGGAGCUGAUA